GGUUCCCGGGCUGGAAAGGGAGCGGGGGUGUUUCCCCUCCUGCGUCCUUGGAAACGGCGCUUAGGCGUUAAUCCACGCCUUUAGCUCCCAGCCCCCACGGUUUAGGAAGGCUUCCCGGCAGCCCCUCUUCGCCGCCUGCUCGGAGCUCACCACAGGGCUCUGCAGCCGCCCAAACGCUCUGGAGGGCUUGAUAAAGCCAGGUCUGAAGCCCCCCGUGGGCUGCUAAGAGAAGUUUUUCAGGACGGGCUCCUGAGAGCCCAUGGCGAUGAGCGGCUAUGUGGCUUUCAGGAAUAUCCUGAUUAGCCUGGGUACCACUUGUCUGAGAAAUUCACAGGACCAUCCAUCAGAACCAACAGGCACUACAUUUCUGAACUGAAGGGUCAAGAAUAAACACUGUAUGAUUUAAGAAAAAUCCCAAGUGUAUAAAGAUGAACAAAAACCUAAGGACAAAG
Molecule: long non-coding RNA, 452 nt
Organism: Columba livia (rock pigeon)
Lineage: Eukaryota; Metazoa; Chordata; Aves; Columbiformes; Columbidae
Exons: 3
Source: RefSeq, a predicted model, not a curated record